This 406-nucleotide ribosomal RNA is filed under the name uncultured bacterium. RNAcentral's name for it is "partial 16S ribosomal RNA". It matches the Rfam family "Bacterial small subunit ribosomal RNA", at positions 30 to 526 of the family's 1533-position model. The record is from RNAcentral.
AUUGAACGCUGGCGGCAGGCCUAACACAUGCAAGUCGAACGAGUGGCGGACGGGUGAGUAAUGUCUAGGAAACUGCCCGAUGGAGGGGGAUAUCUACUGGAGACGGUAGCUCAUACCGCAUACCAUCGGAUGUGCACAGAUGGGAUUAGCUCUUAGGUGGGGUAACGGCUCACCUAGGCGACGAUCCCUAGCUGGUCUGAGAGGAUGACCAGCCAAACUGGAACUGAGACACGGUCCAGACUCCUACGUGAGGCAGCAGUGGGGAAUAUUGCACAAUGGGCGCAAUCCUGAUGCAGCCAUGCCGCGUGUAUGAAGAAGGCCUUCGGGUUGUAAAGUACUUUCAGCGAGGAGGCGUUACUCGCAGAAGAAGCACCGGCUAACUCCGUGCCAGCAGCCGCGGUAAUAC